CUGCCCUCAGGAAGGGGAUAACCCGGGGAAACUCGGGCUAAUACCCUAUAAUGUCUGGAGUCACUGAGGCUCCAGACCAAAGGUGGCCUCUGCUCUGCAUGCUACCGCCUGAGGAGGGGCUCGCGGCCCAUCAGGUAGUUGGUGGGGUAACGGCCUACCAAGCCUAUGACGGGUAGCCGGCCUGAGAGGGUGUCCGGCCACAGUGGGACUGAGACACGGCCCACACCCCUACGGGGGGCAGCAGUGGGGAAUCGUGGGCAAUGGGCGAAAGCCUGACCCCGCGACGCCGCGUGGAGGAAGAAGCCCUUCGGGGUGUAAACUCCUGUCAGGGGGGAAGAUGCUCACAGGGGUGAAUAAUCUCUGUGGGUGACGGUACCCCCAGAGGAAGGGACGGCUAACUACGUGCCAGCAGCCGCGGUAAUACGUAGGUCCCGAGCGUUGCGCGAAUUCAC
Molecule: ribosomal RNA, 452 nt
Filed under: uncultured Hydrogenobacter sp.
Lineage: Bacteria; Pseudomonadati; Aquificota; Aquificia; Aquificales; Aquificaceae
Description: bacterial SSU rRNA
Rfam family: Bacterial small subunit ribosomal RNA
Source: RNAcentral